This 301-nucleotide ribosomal RNA is filed under the name uncultured bacterium. RNAcentral describes it as "partial 16S ribosomal RNA". It matches the Rfam family "Bacterial small subunit ribosomal RNA", at positions 509 to 807 of the family's 1533-position model. The record is from RNAcentral.
CAGCCGCCGCGGGAAAACAGAGGGUGCAAGCGUUAAUCGGAAUUACUGGACGUAAAGCGCGCGUAGGUGGUUUGUUAAGUUGGAUGUGAAAGCCCCGGGCUCAACCUAGGAACUGCAUCCAAAACUGGGAAGCUAGAGUACGGUAGAGGGUGGUGGAAUUUCCUGUGUAGCGGUGAAAUGCGUAGAUAUAUGAAGGAACACCAAUGGCGAAGGCGACCACCUGGACUGAUACUGACACUGAGGUGCGAAAGCGUGGGGAGCAAACAGGAUUAGAUACCCGUGUAGUCCCUGUCUCUUAUAC